CGGCGAGUUUAGUUAUUAUUUGUUGUAAUUCAUCUGAACGCCGUACUUUUUCUUGUGUCUGUGGUGCGCGACGAACGUCGGGCUCAAAACCCUCUCUGUCUGAGCCUGAUUCUGGCAGGGGGCAAUGGGUUGCCUGUGGAUGGGUGGCGGACUGCACCGUUGCCGGCUGCAGCAGUGUAGGAACGUUGGACCGGACUGGGUCCGAAUUCCUGGAAGUGGUAGUGGAAGUUGCCAUGUUUGUUUUGGUCACAUGUGCCUGCAUCAUCAGCUUGCUUUCCAGUGAAGGGGAAGCCAGCGCCGCCCCAUUCUCGUCACCACCCUGAACUCUGCCUCUCUGUUGCAUCACUUGUGCCAGCCCCGUUCCACAUUCGGCCCCGCCUGCCUCCUCAUCUUUCACGAUGCCCCCUGAGCCUCAGACUGGGCCACUUCCUGUUUGUCCUCAUUUUCUCCAAGUGCCGGCUGGAGCACUUCCGGCCCUCGGUUCGCAUGGCUCGUGAUCGUAUUCACUACAUCGUGCAGGGAGGGGCACACAGGGGCCGCGUUUCCUUUCACGGGAUGUGUGGAACUAAUACCAAAAAACCUCGCAACUCUAGAUGGUUUUUGCAGCUCUUUUAGCUUGGCAGCAGGCAUCUCCCGGUUGGAUGGCGGCGGCGCCGCCCCUUCCAAAGCCUGAAUUGUAGCCUGAACUGUAGCUCUGUUCGGCCGCCAAUAUUUGCAAGACAGUGUCAGCUUUUCAGAAGAGAGCUGCACUUCAAAUGUAAGUCAACAGAAGAAUGAAAUUAAAUAUCAAGAGACCUGGAGCUGGCAGAAAGCCAAGAGCCACUUCAAUGGUGCUAGCUAAGAGCCACAUCGCUUGGAUUUGUACAAGGCCAGCAUGGAUAAUCUGUCCUGCACAUCCCUGCGGAGGGAGUGAGCAGAAAAUCAGAAUAUUUCCCUAUUCUGAAGGCAGAAAGUAAUAUCUUUGUCUGUAACUUGAAUUAGCAUCACCAAA
Prinia subflava (tawny-flanked prinia) is the source of this 991-nucleotide long non-coding RNA. RefSeq lists it as uncharacterized. The transcript is spliced from 3 exons. The record is from RefSeq and is a predicted model, not a curated record. Lineage: Eukaryota; Metazoa; Chordata; Aves; Passeriformes; Cisticolidae.